RNAcentral lists this ribosomal RNA (799 nucleotides) under uncultured Glomus. Its description in RNAcentral is "SSU rRNA". It matches the Rfam family "Eukaryotic small subunit ribosomal RNA", at positions 314 to 1114 of the family's 1831-position model. The record is from RNAcentral. Lineage: Eukaryota; Fungi; Glomeromycota; Glomeromycetes; Glomerales; Glomeraceae.
AUCAACUUUCGAUGGUAGGAUAGAGGCCUACCAUGGUGGUAACGGGUAACGGGGUGUUAGGGCACGACACCGGAGAGGGAGCCUGAGAAACGGCUACCACAUCCAAGGAUGGCAGCAGGCGCGCAAAUUACCCAAUCCCGACACGGGGAGGUAGUGACAAUAAAUAACAAUACGGGGUUCUUUCGGAUCUCGUAAUUGGAAUGAGUACAAUUUAAAUCUCUUAACGAGGAACAAUUGGAGGGCAAGUCUGGUGCCAGCAGCCGCGGUAAUUCCAGCUCCAAUAGCGUAUAUUAAAGUUGUUGCAGUUAAAAAGCUCGUAGUUGAAUUUCGGGGUUAGUAGGUUGGUCAUGCCUCUGGUAUGUACUGGUCUCACUGAUUCCUCCUUCCUGAUGAACCGUAAUGCCAUUAAUUUGGUGUUGCGGGGAAUUUGGACUGUUACUUUGAAAAAAUUAGAGUGUUUAAAGCAAGCUAACGCUUGAAUACAUUAGCAUGGAAUAAUGAAAUAGGACGUUCGAUCCUAUUUUGUUGGUUUCUAGGAUUGACGUAAUGAUUAAUAGGGAUAGUUGGGGGCAUUAGUAUUCAAUUGUCAGAGGUGAGAUUCUUGGAUUUAUUGAAGACUAACUACUGCGAAAGCAUUUGCCAAGGAUGUUUUCAUUAAUCAAGAACGAAAGUUAGGGGAUCGAAGACGAUCAGAUACCGUCGUAGUCUUAACCAUAAACUAUGCCGACUAGGGAUCGGAUGAUGUUAAUUUUUUAAUGACUCAUUCGGCGCCUUACGGGAAACCAAAGUGUUUGGGUUC